RNAcentral lists this long non-coding RNA (453 nucleotides) under Hordeum vulgare. RNAcentral describes it as "long non-coding RNA (HVUL_LNC010172)". Lineage: Eukaryota; Viridiplantae; Streptophyta; Magnoliopsida; Poales; Poaceae. The record is from RNAcentral.
GUAAUCUGUGAGCCACAGGGACUCAACAAUCUCAUUUCCAAAGGUAUUUAGACUAGAAAGCUUAACAGAUGAGGUAUCAUUAAGUGGUGAGGCUGCAGCAAGCAACUAAGCAUUUGUUUGAGGGGCUAAAUUACGAGUACACCAAUAAAAGGGGGGAUGAUCUACACAUAACAGACGUGAACUAAUAAUGAUCUCAAAGUGAUCCUGAACACCUACUUACGUAACUCAUGACCCCACCAUGUCUUCUUUUGAUGCAGGACUCACGAGAAGAGACUGUCACGGUUACGCACAGAGUUGGCAUAUAUUAGUUAAGUUUACUUCGAGUUAUCUAGAACCGUAUGUUAAACAAAGUUUCCAAGUUGCCACAUAAUCGUGGGGACGACUUUAGAAAGAAUUGACCCUGCAGGAGUGCUCCAAUUAGUCCAUCACAAACUACCACAUGCUGUGUUGGAA